AAAGAAAUUGACGGGGGCCUGCACAAGCGGUGGAGCAUGUGGCUUAAUUCGAUGCAACGCGAGGAACCUUACCUGGGCUUGACAUGUUCGUCAUAGUCCCGUGAAAGCGGGACGUCAGUUCGGCUGGACGAUCACAGGUGCUGCAUGGCUGUCGUCAGCUCGUGUCGUGAGAUGUUGGUUUAAGUACCGCAACGAGCGCAACCCCUAUGUCCUGUUGCCACGGAGAACACGUUUCUCCAGCACUCUGGACAGACUGCCUCAUUUGCAUGAGGAGGAAGGUGGGGAUGACGUCAAGUCAGUAUGGCCCUUACGCCCAGGGCUGCACACGUGCUACAAUGCCCGGCAUAAUGGGAAGCAAAAUCGCGAGAUGGAGCAAAUCCUCAAAACCGGGCCCAGUUCGGAUUGGAGUCUGCAACUCGACUCCAUGAAGUCGGAAUCGCUAGUAACGGCGCAUCAGCUACGGCGCCGUGAAUACGUUCCCAGGCCUUGUACACACCGCCCGUCACAUCAUGAAAGCCGGGAGCACCCGAAGCCUGCGAUUACGUGGUCGAAGGUGAGCUUGGUAAUUGGGAUG
RNAcentral lists this ribosomal RNA (574 nucleotides) under uncultured bacterium ECS54. Its description in RNAcentral is "bacterial SSU rRNA". It matches the Rfam family "Bacterial small subunit ribosomal RNA", at positions 903 to 1482 of the family's 1533-position model. The record is from RNAcentral.